RNAcentral lists this ribosomal RNA (1584 nucleotides) under Diacronema viridis. RNAcentral describes it as "SSU rRNA". It matches the Rfam family "Bacterial small subunit ribosomal RNA". Lineage: Eukaryota; Haptophyta; Pavlovophyceae; Pavlovales; Pavlovaceae. The record is from RNAcentral.
UUUUUUUUGGAUUUGAUUCUGGUCCAGAGUAAACGCUUGAGAUAUGUUGAUACAUGUUAGUUGAACGUAAAUAACUUGGCUUUUGCCGUCUGUAUUUAAGUAGCGAACAGGUGAGUAGUAUGCAAGAAACCUACCUCUUAGUUUGCGCAAAAUCGCAAUUUAAAAGAUUUAAUUCGCUAAAAGAUGGGCUUGCACAAGAUUAGGUAUUUGACUUGUUAAAAACCUUUCAAGCCUAAGAUCUUUAGCCGGCUUUCGUGAGUGACCGGCCACAUAGGAACUGAGAAAAUGUCCUACCUUCUUUUUUGAAGGCAUCAGUACAAAGCAUUGGACAAUGAACGAAAGUUUGAUCCAGUAAUAUCUCGUGAAUGAUGAAGGGUUUUUGCCUGUAAAGUUCUUUUGGUUGAGGGAAAAAAGAUUUACCUCUUCAGAAAAAAUCCUGGCUAACUCUCGUGCCAGCAGCCGCGGUAAUACGAGAAGGAUGAGCGUUACUCGAAAUUAUUGGGCGUAAAGUGCGUAAACAGUGGCUUUUUAAGCUAUAGGCAGAAAAAUCAAGUAUCCAUCUUGUUUCUGUCAUAGUACUGAUAAGCUUGAGUUUGGAAAAAGAUAAUAGAACAUUUUAUGGAGCGAUGAAAUGCUGUGAUAUAAAAGAGAAUACCAAAAGCGAAGGCAAUUAUCUGGUACAAAACUGACACUUAUUCGCGAAGGCUUAAGUAGCAAAAAGGAUUAGGGACCCUUGUAGUUUAAGCUGUCAACGAUGAACACUCGUUUUUGGAUGAUUUAUCCAGAGACUAAGCUAACGCGUUAAGUGUUUCGCCUGGGAACUACGGUCGCAAGACUAAAACUUAAAGAAAUUGGCGGGAGUAAAAACAAGCAGUGGAGCGUGUGGUUUAAUUCGAUGAUACACGCAAAUCUUACCAUUACUUGACCCAAGCAUCUUUCGCAUGAUUCUAUUUAAUCUUGCUCGAACAUCCUUUUGUUUGUAGAUGCGCAGGCGCUGCAUGGUUGUCGUCAGUUCGUGUCGUGAGAUGUUUGGUUAAUUCCCUUAACGAACGCAACCCUCAAAGCAUGUUUGAAACUUUUUGUUUGCUUGUUAAACAGUCGGGGAAACCUGAAUGAAGGAGGGGUAGACGUCUAAAUCUUUAUGGCCUUUAUGUAUCUGGGCUACUCAUGCGCUACAAUGGGUGUUUUGACAAAAAGAUGCAAGAGCUUUCUGCUUUAGCAAACCUUGAAAAGCACUCUUUAGUUCGGAUUGAACUCUGAAACUCGAGUUCAUAAAGUCGGAAUUGCUAGUAAUCGUGAAUUAGCGUAUCACGGUGAAUCGUAAAUUUACUUUGUACAUACCGCCCGUCAAGUACCGAAAAUUUGAGUUGCAAGAAACUCUAUGAAAAGCUUGAUGGCUUAACUUUUUUCUGGCUUGGACCUUUUCGGCCUUCUAGAAUUUUUUCGCCGUUUUGAUUAUUUUGGAGUAAAAGCAACUUUUUUUAUUGGUAUUAAGUCGUAACAAGGUAGCCCUAAGGGAACUUGGGGCUGAGUAAAAAUUUUAUGGGGGCUUUUUUAAUUAAACUUCUAAUUUUCUAGCCCCAC